This 1048-nucleotide long non-coding RNA is filed under the name Zostera marina. RNAcentral's name for it is "long non-coding RNA (ZMAR_LNC005203)". The record is from RNAcentral. Lineage: Eukaryota; Viridiplantae; Streptophyta; Magnoliopsida; Alismatales; Zosteraceae.
CAUCCUAUAGACAGAAGUGUCGGGAGAGCUUGUGAUACUCUCCCUUGAAAUGUGACGACUUCCACCCUAUAGACAGAAGUGUCGGGAGAGCUUGUCAUACUCCCCCCCGAAAUGUGACGACUUCCAUCCUAUGGACAGAAGUGUCGGGAGAGCUUCUGAUACUCCCCCUCGAAAUGUGACGACUUCCAUCCCAUGGACAGAAGUGUCGGGAGAGCUUGUGAUACUCUCCCUCGAAAUGUGACGACUUCCAUCCCAUGGACAGAAGUGUCGGGAGAGUUCGUGAUAAUUCUCCCUCGAAUUUUGACAACUUCUGGUCAAAGUGACAGAAGUGUCGGGAGAGUUUGUGAUACUCCCCCUCGAAAACUUGCGCUUGGGGCAAUUUUAGUGUUAUUUUACCCGGAAUCGGCGACUGGAGUUUGUGACACUCUUGGAAGUCGGCGAUAUCCGUGGUAUUUUUUAUUUUUUACCCUUGUGAGUCGGCGACUCCCUCUGUGAGUCGGCGACUCCUAGUGUAACCGUCGGAUCUUUCCGGAAGAUACUUGGAAUAUUUUGGAGAUAUAUGGGGAAUAUAUGCAAAAUCUCCAAAGCGACAAGAUGGGAUGAGAUCAUUAAGGCCAAAGCGACAAAAUGAUCUCCAAGUCUAUCAAGGCCAAAGCGACAAGAUAGAAGAAUUAUUAAGGCCAAAGCGACAAAAUAAUUCUUGGUCCAUUAAGGCCAAAGCGACAAAAUGGACCUUGAUCUAUUAAGGCCAAAGCGACAAAAUAGAUUUCUAAUGCAGGGUACUAGUUAGAGUCGUAGGUAGUGAUUUCGAAAGAGUGUUACAAAAAUAAAAUCUAACUAUUCUAUUUUGUAACUUGUACUAGCAUAGGGACUACAAUUUAGGACUACAAUUCUAGACUUGAACCCUGGUGUAUUAGUCAAGCUCCGGCCAUAGCGACAGAGUGACUCUCGAUCCUUAUCAAGGCCAUAGCGACAAGAUGGGAUAGGAUCAUUGAAGCCAAGGCGACAAAAUGAUCCUUGGUCUAUUAAGGCCAUAGCGACAAAAUAG